Molecule: transfer RNA, 73 nt
Filed under: Trichonephila inaurata madagascariensis
Lineage: Eukaryota; Metazoa; Arthropoda; Arachnida; Araneae; Nephilidae
Rfam family: tRNA
About the family: Transfer RNA (tRNA) molecules are approximately 80 nucleotides in length.
Source: Rfam by way of RNAcentral
GUCCCUGUAGCACAAUGGAUAGUGCAUUGGACUUCUAAUUCAAAAGUCGUGGGUUUGAAUCCCUCCUGGGAUG